Molecule: long non-coding RNA, 3925 nt
Filed under: Zea mays
Lineage: Eukaryota; Viridiplantae; Streptophyta; Magnoliopsida; Poales; Poaceae
Description: long non-coding RNA (ZMAY_LNC000742)
Source: RNAcentral
CAUCUGGCUCAUCUUCACCAUGGACCUGGCGAACUGGUCGAAGAAGGCGGCCUGGUUGAGCGCGAAGCGGGUGGCCGCGCGCUUGGUGUCCGGGUGGUUGAUGAGGCCCUGGUCCGACUUGAAGAGCCCCUGCUUGGCGAUGAGGUCGAAGUAGUACUUGUUGUCGAAGGCGUUGGGCGUGCGCACGUCCAGCACCUGGGUCACCACGUUCCCGCUGGGGUCGCUGGCGCACUUAGCCGUCAGCCUCUGCCGGAACGCCGGGUCCAUGGUGCCGUCGUCCGCGUUGGGCGGCAGCCGGUCGCUGAAGGAGACGCAGUGGCCGCGGCCCACCGUGUGCGCGCCGGACAGCGCCACCAGGUCCGCCUUGUCCAGGCUCCGGUUCUUGAACGACUCGAUCAGCGUCGGCACGUCGAAGAAGGGCGCCGGCAGGGUGCCCACCAGGUCGCUUGACGCCGGCGCCAGACCGUCGCGCCGCCCGAGAGGAACCUCGAAGAAGGGGCCGCCGGACUGGAAGGACAGAUAUAUAUAUAUAUAGGGUGUGAUCGGACGACGACGUACACACUAGCUAGUAGACUCCCAAGUACGAGACAGUCUACUCGAUGCAAGGUGAUCGACUUACCGCGACGACGGCGUCCCUGGUGGCGAGCGUGGUGAUGUCGGCGCAGGACACCGUGGGCCCGCAGACGGCGUGGACGGCGGCGCGGAUGUCGUCGAUGAGCUUGAGCGCCUCGGGACGCAGCGUCUGGUUGGGUACCUCGAUCUGCUCGCUGUUGGAACCAGACAGGAGGACGGACGCGUCGCAGCCCUGAUCGAUUAAACCGACAUGGCACUGUGUUCGUCAGCAUCAACGUAGUCGUACGUACGUUAGAUAGCUAGCAGGGCCGGCCGGUGGGUCGUUAUUACCUGCGGGAAGCAGUCGUGGAAGAAGAUGCGGAUGAGCCCCGCGGCGAUGCCGAUGUCGCGGCGGAGGGCCUCGGCGACGUGCCAGCGCACGAUGCCCUCCACCGACGGGCAGGAAACGUCGUAGAAGCUCCAGGAGAGGCCAUUGGCGAUGGGCUCAUUCACGGUCACCGUGGCCGACGAGAGGGCGGCGGCGCACAGCGCCAGCAGCACGAGGGCCACUGGUCUACUACCACUGGACCUCGCCAUUCUGCUCGCUUGCGAUUGCAUAUAAUUUGUGAACAGGCCAAGCAAGAGACAAGGUGUUGUAGUAUGCGUUAUAUAUUUAUAUGCUCGAUCUGUUGCUGUUGGAUCUCACUUCUCACAAUCCUCAUCCAGACAUGGUGUAGUAAGUCUUCGAUCUGCUGCCCAUAUCAUAUGCUUAAUUAUAUGCAACUUCGUUGCAGCUUCGUUCCACAUACACUGCACACCCACCUACUAAUUAUUCGAUCACUGUUAUAUUCCCUCAGUUUUUUUAUUUGUUACGUUCUAUUUAAAAAUUGAACUAGUGGGUGACAAAUAUUCGAAAACGAAGGUAGUAUUAAAUACUACACCCUCUCUCGUAAUAUAAUUUAUUUUAGAUUAAACAUAUAUUCAUUAGUUAAUGUAUGAAUAUAAUUUGUAGGUAUAUCUAUAUUUAAUAUCAUUUAUUUGAAUGAGUACGGAGGGAGUAUUAUAUACCACCUAUCUAUCUAUCUCUUGCUCACUCAAGCUGACCAUUCUUGCAUUGCUUCGGUUUCUUUAAUUUGUCAUGCAACAAGUUGAUGCAUUUCUCUAACGAUGUUGUGUAGCUGUACACUCCACUGACCCGGCCCGGUUGGAAAGCUAGCUAGCUGCAUGCCUUUUCCCUUUCGUUUGAAAAAUUCAUGAUAAGUUUUAAAUCAUCCGAGUUUGUUAAUUAGGAAGAUGAGAUUUGGAUGAGAUAGAGAUGAUAUAUAAUACCUGCCACUUGCAUUGCCACGUGCAGUUCUCAUCUUCUAUAGCACUGCCAGCGCAGGUAUAUAGUCGUUAAUCUAGCUUGACCAGCAUCAGGUCAGCCAGCCAGCAUGGCUUCAUACUUCCUUGCGAGUCCCAAAGUCAAGCUCACUGUUCAUUCACUCGCAACAUUUCCUUUUUUUUUUUUUUUUGGAACGAGAUUAUUACUCUGCUUUUAGGAAAUCAAAUAAAAUUCUAGCACCCACACCACACACACGAGCUCCACUGGGGACACCAGUUUACAAAAGAAACAUAAGUGAAACAACAUCCAUCUACACACUAAUAUUAGUAGGAAUAAAAGCCUAUGGCACCCCUUCGAUUUUAGAUCACUACAAUAUCAGAUCCCGGCCCUCUCCAUCAAUCGGAUGAAAAUUAUGAAUCCAGUUCUCCAUAGCUUCCAAUGUCUUCUCCAGCAUAGAUCCUUUGACUUGAGUAACACCCUCCGGUUCUAUAGAAAAGAGAUAGAAUCAUGCAUGAUCACAAAUGUACCGCUAGGAAACUUUUUGUUUCAAUCGUCAUCUUGUUUCGAUUACCCAAACUAGCCCACACUAGGCCUGCGAGCAGAAAUAAGCGCGAAAGAAUCGAAAUACAUUUGACUUAGAUCCCAUCCAGUUAUCAAAUAAAUAAAUUGAAAGGGAAAUAUGUUAUAUGACAUUUCUAACUUAGUUUUGGUGAUUAACGAUCAACACAACCUCGACUACUACUAACUAGUCUGCUAAGUGCACAAUUGUAGGUUCAUAAUAAGUGCCAAUUUGUAGAAUCCAACUCAACUUGUAGCUCAAACAGAGGCAAAAUAGGGCAAAUCUUGGAUGAGGUGGGCUAUUACUAGUUCAGUUGUCCUUAGAAAUAUUUUUGAACACCUUAGAGGCUUUGGAUCGAGAGAUUUCAAAAAAGAUGCAUUUGGGACUGAGUUUGAGUGUGAACCAAGACUGAGUUUUAUAAUUAGACUAUAAUAUUUAAUACUCAAAAUUGACAUUCAAAUAUCCAAUAUGACAUGGACUAAUUAAACUUUAGUCAGAAAACUAAACAUCCUGUAAUGUCUUAUUAAUAUAGACCACUUAGAGUCAAAUUCUAAAUUUGGCUGGACCUCUAUAAUAUAUCUAUUAAUUCCAGCAGUGGAAAGCUGGACGCUAGCUUUCUCGUGUAAAGAAGGGGACUGCUUCAUCCUCCACGAGACACUCGUGGCCUCGUGGGAGUGGGACAUGUAAUCGCUAUUUACAGGGCAAAGAAAAUGCAAAAAAGGAUAGAGAGAUAAAGGAUUGGAUACCACGGUCGGUCGUGUCCUAUAUUUAUGAAGGGUGUGUGAGAGGCAUUUCCCAUGGUCGUAGUGGAGUCCGAAUGCCGCAAGAAUUUCCGUGUCCCUUCGUAUGUAAAGGCUUGGAAAUCUUUCAUGUGGUAAAUGAAGUGCCUUUUUCACGAGAAAUGAAGAAAAAAAAUAUAAGGAGAGAGUAGUGCACGCGCCGUACAGAUAGGACAAGGAGAACUGGAGAAGCAACAGCAAAAGACAGGCUUCCAUGAGCCACACACCACAACAGUCAGCUCUUGGCUCUCGUUCUACUCGCAACUCGCGCUCGCCACCCAUUUAUUGUAAAACAAAAUUCUAAUCACGCGUCGGCCGCGAGCCCCUCGUCGCCGGCGGCGGUCUCGAGCUGGUCUGCUGAGACGACGCGGGCGGCGUUGCGCACUGCGCAGUUGAGGCGGACCUCUCCGGCGUUGCCCGUGAGCACGUCCAUCUGGCUCAUCUUGACCAUGGACCUGGCGAACUGGUCGAAGAAGGCGGCCUGGUUGAGCGCGAAGCGCGUGGCGGCGCGUUUGGUGGUCUGGUCGUUGAUGAGGCCCUGGUCCGACUUGAAGAGCCCCUGCUUGGCGAUGAGGUCGAAGUAGUACUUGUUGUCGAAGGCGUUGGGGGUGCGCACGUCCAGCACCUGCGCCGCGCUGGCGUCCUUGGCGCACUUGGCCGCGAGCGUCCGGCGGAACGCCGGGUCCAUGGUGCCGUCGUCGGCGUUGGGCG